GAUGAACGCUGGCGGCGUGCCUAAUACAUGCAAGUCGAGCGAACAGAUAAGGAGCUUGCUCCUUUGACGUUAGCGGCGGACGGGUGAGUAACACGUGGGUAACCUACCUAUAAGACUGGAAUAACUCCGGGAAACCGGGGCUAAUGCCGGAUAACAUUUAGAACCGCAUGGUUCUAAAGUGAAAGAUGGUUUUGCUAUCACUUAUAGAUGGACCCGCGCCGUAUUAGCUAGUUGGUAAGGUAACGGCUUACCAAGGCAACGAUACGUAGCCGACCUGAGAGGGUGAUCGGCCACACUGGAACUGAGACACGGUACAGACUCCUACGGGAGGCAGCAGUAGGGACUCUUACGCAAUGGGGGAAAGCCUGACGGAGCACAGCCGCGUGAGUGAUGACGGUCUUCGGAUCGUAAAACUCUGUUAUUCGGGAAGAACAAAUGUGUAAGUAACUGUGCACGUCUUGACGGUACCUAAUCAGAAAGCCACGGCUAACUACGUG
RNAcentral lists this ribosomal RNA (497 nucleotides) under uncultured bacterium. RNAcentral's name for it is "partial 16S ribosomal RNA". It matches the Rfam family "Bacterial small subunit ribosomal RNA", at positions 28 to 507 of the family's 1533-position model. The record is from RNAcentral.